AGCUAUCAACUGUGAUUCUACCUUUAUUGAAGCUUACAAUAAUCUGGGGAAUGCUCUCAAAGACGCUGGACAUGCUCUCAAAGACGCUGGACAUUAUAGGUCAUGCUUUGCUUUACAACCUAACCAUCCACAA
Zingiber officinale is the source of this 133-nucleotide long non-coding RNA. RefSeq lists it as uncharacterized. NCBI's taxonomy places the organism in Eukaryota, Viridiplantae, Streptophyta, Magnoliopsida, Zingiberales, Zingiberaceae. The record is from RefSeq and is a predicted model, not a curated record. The transcript is spliced from 3 exons.